GCACCGUGUCUACCUUCAUGCUGCCUUGCUUCCAGCCAUGAUGAUGAUGAACUAAACCUCUGAGACUGAUUCCAGUGUAGACUGAAGACCAGCAGCUCUCCAGGAAUCCGUAAGGCCUUCAGUACCAGAUUGGAAUUGCUGAGACACUGGGACAGCCUCUUGGACAAAGAAAUAUCAGGGAUAAGAACGGAAACAUGGGUGUAGACCGGUGACCGCCAUUUCUUCUCUCCCUUGCUGGUGUCCUGGGCUCCAGUGGAAGUUUGGAGGGCGUCUCUUCAGUUUGCGAUGCCAGUGCAGACCACACCUAAAACGGAGAACACAGUUUGGUAAAAAAGAC
This is a long non-coding RNA of Chionomys nivalis (European snow vole), 337 nucleotides long. RefSeq lists it as uncharacterized. The transcript has 3 exons. NCBI's taxonomy places the organism in Eukaryota, Metazoa, Chordata, Mammalia, Rodentia, Cricetidae. The record is from RefSeq and is a predicted model, not a curated record.